GUAGUCGUGGCCGAGUGGUUAAGGCGACAGACUUGAAAUCUGUUGGGAUAUUCCCGUGCAGGUUCAAAUCCUGCCGAUUACG
RNAcentral lists this transfer RNA (82 nucleotides) under Dendronephthya gigantea. RNAcentral's name for it is "tRNA-Ser". It matches the Rfam family "tRNA". Rfam says of the family: Transfer RNA (tRNA) molecules are approximately 80 nucleotides in length. Their secondary structure includes four short double-helical elements and three loops (D, anti-codon, and T loops). Lineage: Eukaryota; Metazoa; Cnidaria; Anthozoa; Malacalcyonacea; Nephtheidae. The record is from RNAcentral.